AUACUUUUCUCGGCCUGUUUGCGAAGAUCAAGUGUAGCAUCUCAGAUACUGUAUCUGUUCUUAUCAGUUUAAUAUCUGAUAUGUGAGCCAAAGGCUCACACGAUAUUAAAUUAACCAUUUUAAGGCGGAGAGCUCGCUGCGGGAGCUUGCUACCGGGGCUCUCGAGCGUCGCCCUUGCGUUGCACCACUGCAAGGGCCUGGCGCACCCCAC
Molecule: small nuclear RNA, 211 nt
Rfam family: U2 spliceosomal RNA
About the family: U2 is a small nuclear RNA (snRNA) component of the spliceosome (involved in pre-mRNA splicing). Complementary binding between U2 snRNA (in an area lying towards the 5' end but 3' to hairpin I) and the branchpoint sequence (BPS) of the intron results the bulging out of an unpaired adenosine, on the BPS, which initiates a nucleophilic attack at the intronic 5' splice site, thus starting the first of two transesterification reactions that mediate splicing.
Source: Rfam